CGAGGGGCAGCGGGGAGCAAGCUUGCUUGCUCUGCCGGCGACCGGCGCACGUGUGAGUAACACGUAUGCAACCUGCCCUCCGCAGGGGGAUAACCCGGAGAAAUCCGGACUAAUACCGCGUGGUACACCAGUGGGGCAUCCCACGGGUGUUAAAAGGAAGCGAUUCCGGCGGAGGAUGGGCAUGCGGCGCAUUAGCUUGUUGGCGGGGUAACGGCCCACCAAGGCGACGAUGCGUAGGGGUUCUGAGAGGAAGGUCCCCCACACUGGUACUGAGACACGGACCAGACUCCUACGGGAGGCAGCAGUGAGGAAUAUUGGUCAAUGGGCGGGAGCCUGAACCAGCCAAGUCGCGUGAGGGAAGACGGUCCUAUGGAUUGUAAACCUCUUUAGGCGGGGAGCAAUGCCGGGCACGCGUGCCCGGAGGGAGAGUACCCGCAGAAUAAGCAUCGGCUAACUCCGUGCCAGCAGCCGCGGUAAUACGGAGGAUGCGAGCGUUAUCCGGAUUUAUUGGGUUUAAAGGGUGCGUAGGCGGAUUUUUAAGUCAGCGGUAAAAUGUCCGGGCUCAACCCGGGCCGGCCGUUGAAACUGGGGAUCUUGAGUGGGCGAGAAGUAUGCGGAAUGCGUGGUGUAGCGGUGAAAUGCAUAGAUAUCACGCAGAACUCCGAUUGCGAAGGCAGCAUACCGGCGCCCGACUGACGCUGAGGCACGAAAGCGUGGGUAUCGAACAGGAUUAGAUACCCUGGUAGUCCACGCA
Molecule: ribosomal RNA, 754 nt
Filed under: uncultured bacterium
Lineage: Bacteria
Description: bacterial SSU rRNA
Rfam family: Bacterial small subunit ribosomal RNA
Source: RNAcentral